UUAAAAGCGGUAUUAGAAUAUACCAACUUUGGGAGUUGGAGAUUAGUGGCAACUACUUUUAAA
RNAcentral lists this transfer RNA (63 nucleotides) under Mastigeulota kiangsinensis. RNAcentral describes it as "tRNA-Pro". Lineage: Eukaryota; Metazoa; Mollusca; Gastropoda; Stylommatophora; Camaenidae. The record is from RNAcentral.